Molecule: ribosomal RNA, 614 nt
Filed under: Salmonella enterica
Lineage: Bacteria; Pseudomonadati; Pseudomonadota; Gammaproteobacteria; Enterobacterales; Enterobacteriaceae
Also listed under: 1 other name
Description: partial 23S ribosomal RNA
Rfam family: Bacterial large subunit ribosomal RNA
Source: RNAcentral
AUCCGGGUUGCGGACAGUGUCUGGUGGGUAGUUUGACUGGGGCGGUCUCCUCCUAAAGAGUAACGGAGGAGCACGAAGGUUGGCUAAUCCUGGUCGGACAUCAGGAGGUUAGUGCAAUGGCAUAAGCCAGCUUGACUGCGAGCGUGACGGCGCGAGCAGGUGCGAAAGCAGGUCAUAGUGAUCCGGUGGUUCUGAAUGGAAGGGCCAUCGCUCAACGGAUAAAAGGUACUCCGGGGAUAACAGGCUGAUACCGCCCAAGAGUUCAUAUCGACGGCGGUGUUUGGCACCUCGAUGUCGGCUCAUCACAUCCUGGGGCUGAAGUAGGUCCCAAGGGUAUGGCUGUUCGCCAUUUAAAGUGGUACGCGAGCUGGGUUUAGAACGUCGUGAGACAGUUCGGUCCCUAUCUGCCGUGGGCGCUGGAGAACUGAGGGGGGCUGCUCCUAGUACGAGAGGACCGGAGUGGACGCAUCACUGGUGUUCGGGUUGUCAUGCCAAUGGCACUGCCCGGUAGCUAAAUGCGGAAGAGAUAAGUGCUGAAAGCAUCUAAGCACGAAACUUGCCCCGAGAUGAGUUCUCCCUGAGACUUAGAGUCUCCUGAAGGAACGUUGAAGACG